This 146-nucleotide transfer RNA is filed under the name Lentinula raphanica. Its description in RNAcentral is "tRNA-Ala". It matches the Rfam family "tRNA". From Rfam's summary of the family: Transfer RNA (tRNA) molecules are approximately 80 nucleotides in length. Their secondary structure includes four short double-helical elements and three loops (D, anti-codon, and T loops). Further hydrogen bonds mediate the characteristic L-shaped molecular structure. tRNAs have two regions of fundamental functional importance: the anti-codon, which is responsible for specific mRNA codon recognition, and the 3' end, to which the tRNAs corresponding amino acid is attached (by aminoacyl-tRNA synthetases). tRNAs cope with the degeneracy of the genetic code in two manners: having more than one tRNA (with a specific anti-codon) for a particular amino acid; and 'wobble' base-pairing, i.e. permitting non-standard base-pairing at the 3rd anti-codon position. Lineage: Eukaryota; Fungi; Basidiomycota; Agaricomycetes; Agaricales; Omphalotaceae. The record is from RNAcentral.
GGGCAUGUAGCGUAGGGGUUAUCGCGUUCGCUUUGCAUCGGUGGAUCUAAUUCCAAGAUUUGUUCUCGGGAUGAGAACAAAGGAAUUACAUAAAUCCCCAGUGGUUGCUUUGCGAAAGGUCUCCGGUUCAAAUCCGGACUUGUCCA